ACGUCUCAGUUCAGAUUGCAGGCUGCAACUCGCCUGCAUGAAGUCGGAAUUGCUAGUAAUCGCAGAUCAGCAUGCUGCGGUGAAUACGUUCCCGGGCCUUGUACACACCGCCCGUCACACCAUGGGAGUCGGUAACACCCGAAGUCGGUAGCCUAACCGUAAGGAGGGCGCCGCCGAAGGUGGGAUUGAUGACUGGGGUGAAGUCGUAACAAGGUAUC
Molecule: ribosomal RNA, 218 nt
Filed under: uncultured bacterium
Lineage: Bacteria
Description: partial 16S ribosomal RNA
Rfam family: Bacterial small subunit ribosomal RNA
Source: RNAcentral